UACGGUCAUAUCAUUUUAAACACCGAUGCCCAUACGAACAUUGAAGUUAAGCAAUCUUGAACCUAGUCAGUACGUAGAUGAAUGACCGCUUGGGAAUACCAGGUUCUGUAA
Molecule: non-coding RNA, 111 nt
Organism: Acanthosepion pharaonis
Lineage: Eukaryota; Metazoa; Mollusca; Cephalopoda; Sepiida; Sepiidae
Source: the annotation of a GenBank genome assembly